GGUAGCGUGGCCGAGCGGUCCAAGGCGCUGGUUUAAGGCACCAGUAUCUUCGGGGGCAUGGGUUCGAAUCCCAUCGCUGCCA
This 82-nucleotide transfer RNA is filed under the name Daphnia pulicaria. RNAcentral's name for it is "tRNA-Leu". It matches the Rfam family "tRNA". From Rfam's summary of the family: Transfer RNA (tRNA) molecules are approximately 80 nucleotides in length. Lineage: Eukaryota; Metazoa; Arthropoda; Branchiopoda; Diplostraca; Daphniidae. The record is from RNAcentral.